This 523-nucleotide ribosomal RNA is filed under the name Helotiales sp. 6 ICMP 18920. RNAcentral describes it as "eukaryotic LSU rRNA". The stretch from base 195 to 348 matches the Rfam family "5.8S ribosomal RNA". Lineage: Eukaryota; Fungi; Ascomycota; Leotiomycetes; Helotiales. The record is from RNAcentral.
UCCGUUGGUGAACCAGCGGAAGGAUCAUUACAGAGAUCAUGCCCUCACGGGUAGACCUCCCACCCUGUCUAUUUUACCAUUGUUGCUUCGGCAGGCCGCCACUCGUGGCCCGCGGCUUCGGCUGUGGAGCGCCUGCCAGAAGACCCCAACUCAAGUGUUUUUAGUGUCGUCUGAGUCUAAAACAAAUAAGUUAAAACUUUCAACAACGGAUCUCUUGGUUCUGGCAUCGAUGAAGAACGCAGCGAAAUGCGAUAAGUAAUGUGAAUUGCAGAAUUCAGUGAAUCAUCGAAUCUUUGAACGCACAUUGCGCCCCUUGGUAUUCCGGGGGGCAUGCCUGUUCGAGCGUCAUUUCAACCCUCAAGCCUAGCUUGGUCUUGGGCCCUGUCGGCAACGGCUGGCCUUAAACUCAGUGGCGGUGCCACCGAGCUCUACGCGUAGUAACUUACCUCUCGCGUCUGGGUCUCGGUGGACGCUGGCCAGCAACCCCCCAUUUUCUAUGGUUGACCUCGAAUCAGGUAGGGAU